Pipistrellus kuhlii (Kuhl's pipistrelle) is the source of this 1930-nucleotide long non-coding RNA. RefSeq lists it as uncharacterized. The transcript has 2 exons. NCBI's taxonomy places the organism in Eukaryota, Metazoa, Chordata, Mammalia, Chiroptera, Vespertilionidae. The record is from RefSeq and is a predicted model, not a curated record.
CCCGCCCCGCCCGCCCCGCUCGGCGCCCGCGCCCGCGCCCGGCCCGGCUGAGUGCGCGCGCCCGCGGCGCCGGAGAGCGGGGCGGGAGUUCGGGGUAGUCCCACAGGGCCCCUGCGCUUCCUCAAACCCAAGCAGUGCCCCCUGAGCUCAGAGCAAGGAUGAGUGUUGGAGGGGCGGAGACCAGGCAGGAAUGCCACAAAGGGAAUGCCAGCUUCGGGUGAUCUUGGCAUACAGAGACCCGGCCUUUGGGGCAAAGGGAAGAAAAGAGAUGGCUGUCAGCAGAAUGUAGGAAAUUGAGCAAAAGUGGGUGGGUGUGCACCUGGAUGAGUCAAAUUCUUGGCGAGACAUCAACUGUGAUUCUGAGUCUGAGCUCAAAGGUGUGAUGGAACCCUUGCCUGUUAUCCCUGCCCUGCCUUAACUUGGGGGAGAAUAAGGAAAGAAACUCAGAGAAGCCUCUUGUAGACAAGUCCUGCAGGCCUCCUCCUUACAAGACUAGCUGGUGUGUCUGACUGUGCCCUAAGACAUGGUGCAUGAGAGUUAGAAAGAUGAAUGACAACAUCCCUUCUCCCGCUGAACCUGUCCCUGUGGAUGGCUGAAAGGUAUCCCCUGGUCUUGGGCACCUCACAAUUCACACUGCACACAGCCCUAUUGCUUAUGGCAAUGGAAGCUUCAGAUCGUGCCUGGGGAUCCGAAACUAAAUGAGGGAUCAUCCAUGGUUAGCUUCCCGGGUCCUGCUUGGUCCUUGAUUAUCCUCAUUCUGGGAAACUGAAGGCCGGGACUCCAGGCCUGACAUCAGGGGAACAGCCCACUGAUUCACCUGUCAUGACAAGGCUCCAGCAGUGGCUGAACCUUUAGCCAGGAUUUACCGAAUACCAAAACCAUUAAUUUACAUUCAAAACCUAUUCUCCCCACUGAAGCUGAAACAUGAGAACCAUUCCCCACUCGAUCUCUCAUUUCCCUUUGCUCUAAUUGAAACCAAGCACAUUUCUUAGAGCUAUUAUUUCUUCCACUAUUCUCAGAAUUUAUACCCUGAACCCUUAAUACUGGCCUGUUGUAAUAGCUUUCUAAGGAAGGACCUCUUUUCUUCAGGAUUGAUUUUCCUAAAGCCUGCCUUUGACCAUGAUAGUUUGCUGCUCAACACCCCAGCCUCAAGGUCACUCCCCAUACCAGCACCCCAUUCACCCCAUUCACUGAAGACUUUGCUUCCAGGCCACCCCUUUCCUGCCUGCAUUCCUGGUAUCUUCAACCUCUAGGUGGAUGGUCAUCUGUUUGUCCUUCAGGGACUUCCUCCAAAAACGGAAACCCUACAACUUGGCAUCACCAGAAACUGCACUGUCUCCAAAAUCCAAAGGCAUCCAACUCUACCCAACACCUCUUGCACUUACAGUUCACUUUGCUCACAAUCCCCUCAUCGUGACCUGUGAGCUCCCAAUCCCACCAUCUCACUGUCUCCUCACCAUCCCUUGCCUCCUGAUCAAAUUAUAUCCCAUCCUUAUACUGACUACCUUGCCACCCUCUCCUGCAGUGAUGCUGAAAAGCCUAAAAGUUAGUUUUUCCACUGUAUGCAAUCCCCUCUCCACCCUCCUUCAGUCAUCAUCCCUCUCAGCUGUCAACAUGACCUCAUAAUUCUCUAAGAAAUUGAAGCCUAAAAGCAUGCCCUCCCUCAUCCUUUCACCACCAAAUCUGCACAGCCCUGAAGGAGCCUCUUCCCCCUCUUCCUCUGGUUACACAGAUAGAAAUUAUCCUCCUCCUCGCGAGGCCAGUCCUCCAGAGGUGUUUUAGAGCCAUUCCAGGUCCUAGUCCCUGGAACCUCUGUGUGUGACCUUACAAGACAAAGGAGACUUUGAGGGUCAUUAAAGAGGAACGAUCUUGAGGUGGGGAGAUUAUCCUGGGUAUCUGGAUAGGCCCUAAGUGUAAUCUCGAGCGUCCU